This 462-nucleotide transfer-messenger RNA is filed under the name Patescibacteria group. RNAcentral's name for it is "HK-STAS-PATE-10 sp023898505 Standard tmRNA". It matches the Rfam family "transfer-messenger RNA". From Rfam's summary of the family: Bacterial tmRNA, also known as 10Sa RNA or SsrA, is named for its dual tRNA and mRNA-like properties. Its role is to liberate the mRNA from a stalled ribosome. To accomplish this part of the tmRNA is used as a reading frame that ends in a translation stop signal. The record is from RNAcentral. RNAcentral also lists the same sequence under 1 other name.
GGGGCUAAUCUUGGUUUCUACUUGGAGAACCGUUAGUCGUCUAUGCUAUCCGGGAGGUGUUUGUGACUUCCGUAAUCAAUUGCAAACAUACGUAAAUGGAAAAAACAGAACUGGUGGACUUGCUUCUUUCUUUAAAGGUGCAUUUUCUCCUGCUGCUAUCGCAGCAUAGUCUCGCCUUAUAAUUAGGUUUUAGAGACGUAGCCUUCUCCUAGCGGGAUGAGUACCAAUUGGUCUGCUACACAUCAUUUCUUGAUUUUACUAGAGAAGCGAGAAAUGAUUACCAAAAUCUAGGGUGUAUUUCAGGUUCGUAGGGGAUUUCCUCGUCAUACACUAGCAAUUAUCUUCUCUCGCAAGUUACUUUUUGUUUGUUUUCUAUGGCUUCGAGUACCAAAAUAAACUAUGAUAGUAGAUGUAUGCUUCUAGCCUUCAGGGACGUGGGUUCAAAUCCCACUAGCUCCACCA